GAGUUUGAUCGUGGCUCAGAUUGAACGCUGGCGGCAUGCCUUACACAUGCAAGUCGAACGGCAGCAUGAUCUAGCUUGCUAGAUUGAUGGCGAGUGGCGAACGGGUGAGUAAUACAUCGGAACGUGCCCUGUAGUGGGGGAUAACUAGUCGAAAGAUUAGCUAAUACCGCAUACGACCUGAGGGUGAAAGUGGGGGACCGCAAGGCCUCAUGCUAUAGGAGCGGCCGAUGUCUGAUUAGCUAGUUGGUGGGGUAAAGGCCCACCAAGGCGACGAUCAGUAGCUGGUCUGAGAGGACGAUCAGCCACACUGGGACUGAGACACGGCCCAGACUCCUACGGGAGGCAGCAGUGGGGAAUUUUGGACAAUGGGCGAAAGCCUGAUCCAGCAAUGCCGCGUGUGUGAAGAAGGCCUGGUG
This 416-nucleotide ribosomal RNA is filed under the name uncultured microorganism. RNAcentral describes it as "bacterial SSU rRNA". It matches the Rfam family "Bacterial small subunit ribosomal RNA", at positions 9 to 421 of the family's 1533-position model. The record is from RNAcentral.